UAGUUUUCCCUCUUCUUCUUCUCUACCCAAAAUUUUCGUUUUCCCACUAACCUCUUAUCUUAUCUCUGCCUCUCUCCCCUGAUCUCUCUUUAUUCUCUACUUGUCUUCUUUUGUUACUUGAAUGGAAGUUUUCAUUACACCUUCUUAGUUAUCAGAGCUUCAAUUUGAAGCUUUAAUUAUUGGCUUUCCAAUCCACUUUCUCUAUCUAAACCCUAUUCGUUUUUAGGGUUUUUUAGAGACCGCUCAUUCUUCUUCAACCCCGUUUAUACCCCUCUCUUUUACUCACAGAUCCGUGUAUCUAUCUCAUCAUAUGGGUGAAAGUAGCUUCACCUGUUGCUGCUACUAUGCCAUUGAAGAAAGAUUAUUCAAGGAGCAAGUGAAGCACAGCUCAGCCUGGUAUAGAUGCCAACAAAAAAAAAUGCAAUAUUAACAUGCUAAAUGAAAUACACCGAAAGGUUACAGAGUUUUUUUACAGUACGUAUAUCUUGUCUAAUUUUAUCAACUUUAUAAUCAUUAAGAUUUGCUCUUCAUGCUACAUUUAGAAGGUUACAGAGUUUUUUACAGAGUUGAUUAUUUUCUUUGUUGUAACUAUA
Long non-coding RNA from Daucus carota subsp. sativus, 593 nucleotides. RefSeq lists it as uncharacterized. The transcript is spliced from 3 exons. The record is from RefSeq and is a predicted model, not a curated record. NCBI's taxonomy places the organism in Eukaryota, Viridiplantae, Streptophyta, Magnoliopsida, Apiales, Apiaceae.